RNAcentral lists this long non-coding RNA (1169 nucleotides) under Equus asinus (donkey). Its description in RNAcentral is "lncRNA (ENSEASG00005028871.1)". Lineage: Eukaryota; Metazoa; Chordata; Mammalia; Perissodactyla; Equidae. The record is from RNAcentral.
CCACGGCCACGCCCCCAGGCCACUCCCCCUCUCCCGGCUGCGGCCUCCCAGUCUCCUCGGCCACACCCCCUUCCCAACUACUUAAAAGGACACUCCGACGCUCACGUUUCCCUACGGUGCUGGGGUUCCUGUCUGUGCAGUUCUGCUUGGAGAAGCUGGAGAGUGGAGUAGGGGCGUGUGAAGAUGCAGGCGCCCUGAGUGCCCGGCUGUGUGGACCUGAUCUGAGCCACAACUUCCUGACUUCGAAGGCCAGGCUGGAGCCCAAGAAGGCUUUGCAGCCCCCUGGGUGUGCUCAUUGUGUGAGCCAAGUGUUGUCUCUGGUGAUGAUGCCGACAGCCCGGCUCUCCUCGUGUUUCCGCUGCUGCGUGGAAUGUGAACCAGCUGAGCCGGACCAGCGCCGCCCCAGGGCAGGAGGCCAGGUGUGCUGUCUCUGGACGACAGGCAUGAGGAACAGCGACGCCUGAUGUCACCAGGGCCUGGGAACCACCCUGCCUGGGGGAUGCUGGCCCUCUCUGCUAAUGUGCUUGGGUCCUUAUUUCCUCUUUGAAUGUGUUUCUUGAAAAACAAACUCUUUGAGGUGAAAAAAGUUUAUGGUUUUUAGAACAAUGGUUUGAAAUAGAGCAAAUACUGGUAACAGGCUCUGCAGAUAAUUCUAUAAAGCUGUGAAAGAGCCACGAAAUAGUUUACUCUAAUCACCCUGUACAAAGCAGCCACCUUCAGGAUUCAUUUCUUCAAGUGGUGUCAAUUCAAUUAAUCAUAAAAAAAUGAUUAAAAGAAUUUCAUACAACUUUGCUUUUAAAAUAAAAUCUUGGUGAACCAGCAUUCCAAUCUCAUGCUGUUAUUUAUUUUUUCCACUGAUUUAUCUAUUUAUUUACUUGCAUUAUAAAGGUAAUACUAAUGGUAAAAACAGAAAUGCAAAUCAUUCUGCCGGGUAUAAAAUGAAAAGUAGAAAUCCCCUCUUAUAAGUUGUUCUCGUUUCCCUGAGAUGAUCAAAGUUAAUGGUUUCUUGUGACGCAGAAAUUUUGUUAUAUAUGUGUGUGUGUAUCUACAUCUAAUCCAAUAUUUUUCCACAAAUGGUCUAGUCCUAUGAUUUUUUUCCCACUUAAAUAUAGAUCUUGACAUACAGGUCUAUCUCAUUCUUUUUAAUGAUUGUCUAGCUCUGGUGUUUC